AGGGUGUAAACGCUGCAGACUUGGUGUUGGAAGCCCUUUGGGGGCAUUCAGUGCCGGAGAGAAGUUGUUAAGUCUGCUACUUGGGGAGUACGUCCGCAAGGAUGAAACUUAAAGGAAUUGGCGGGGGAGCACCGCAACGGGAGGAGCGUGCGGUUUAAUUGGAUUCAACACCGUAAAACUCACCAGGGAAGACUGUUACAUGAAGGCCGAGAUGAAGACUCUGCUAGAUUUUCAGAGAGGUGGUGCAUGGCGUAGACGUCU
This 261-nucleotide ribosomal RNA is filed under the name uncultured archaeon. Its description in RNAcentral is "partial 16S ribosomal RNA". It matches the Rfam family "Archaeal small subunit ribosomal RNA", at positions 748 to 1009 of the family's 1478-position model. The record is from RNAcentral.